GUGGGGAAUCUUGCGCAAUGGGCGAAAGCCUGACGCAGCCAUGCCGCGUGAAUGAUGAAGGUCUUAGGAUUGUAAAAUCCUUUCACCGGUGAAGAUAAUGACUGUAGCCGGAGAAGAAGCCCCGGCUAACUUCGUGCCAGCAGCCGCGGUAAUACGAAGGGGGCUAGCGUUGCUCGGAUUUACUGGGCGUAAAGGGCGCGUAGGCGGACAUUUAAGUCAGGGGUGAAAUCCCGGGGCUCAACCUCGGAACUGCCUUUGAUACUGGGUGUCUUGAGUAUGAGAGAGGUGUGUGGAACUCCGAGUGUAGAGGUGAAAUUCGUAGAUAUUCGGAAGAACACCAGUGGCGAAGGCGACACACUGGCUCAUUACUGACGCUGAGGCGCGAAAGCGUGGGGAGCAAACAGGAUUAGAAACCCGGGUAGUCC
RNAcentral lists this ribosomal RNA (425 nucleotides) under uncultured bacterium. Its description in RNAcentral is "partial 16S ribosomal RNA". It matches the Rfam family "Bacterial small subunit ribosomal RNA", at positions 354 to 796 of the family's 1533-position model. The record is from RNAcentral.